UUGAUCCCUUCGGGGUGACGCUUGUGGAACGAGCGGCGGACGGGUGAGUAACACGUGGGCAACCUGCCUGUAAGAUUGGGAUAACUCCGGGAAACCGGGGCUAAUACCGAAUAACACUUUUACUCUCAUGAGUUUAAGUUGAAAGGCGGCUUUGUGAUAGUUUUCUUUCACGCUGCUGUCACUUACAUAUGGGCCCGCGGCGCAAUAGCUAAUUGGUGCGAUAAUGGCCUACCAACGUGACAAGGCGAACCCCACCUGUGAGGGUGAUCGGCCACCCUGAGACUGACAGACGGCCCAAACUCGUACUCUACGCAGCAGUACGAAAUCUUCAGCGAUGGACGACACUCUGACGGAGAAACCCCUCGUGUCCGAUGAAUGCGUUCUGGUCGAAGAGCUCUGUUGUUACGGAAGAACAAGUACCGUGCCGAUACGGCGGUACCUUGACGCUACCUACUACGUACGCCCCGGCUAACUACGUGCCAGCAGCCGCGCUAUGACCUAAGGUGCAAGCGUUGUCCCGAGUUAUUGCGCGUACAGCGCGCGCAUGCGGUUCCUUAAGUCUCAUGUGAGAUCUCUCGGCUCAACCCCGAGCGCUCGUUGACAACUGAGGAACUUGAAUAUACACGAGGAGAGUGGAAUUCCACAUGUAUCGGUGAGAUGCGUAGAGAUGUGGACGAAUACCUGUGCCGAAAGCGACUCUCAGGUCUGUAACUGAGGCUAACGCGCGAAAUCAUGUACAGUGAACAUCAUUACAUACCCUGAUAAUCGACACCUGAUACGAUGAGUGCUCCGCGUAAUGCUGCUU
The sequence is a ribosomal RNA, 805 nucleotides long. It matches the Rfam family "Bacterial small subunit ribosomal RNA", at positions 70 to 833 of the family's 1533-position model.